RNAcentral lists this transfer RNA (72 nucleotides) under Camelus bactrianus (Bactrian camel). It matches the Rfam family "tRNA". From Rfam's summary of the family: Transfer RNA (tRNA) molecules are approximately 80 nucleotides in length. Their secondary structure includes four short double-helical elements and three loops (D, anti-codon, and T loops). Further hydrogen bonds mediate the characteristic L-shaped molecular structure. tRNAs have two regions of fundamental functional importance: the anti-codon, which is responsible for specific mRNA codon recognition, and the 3' end, to which the tRNAs corresponding amino acid is attached (by aminoacyl-tRNA synthetases). tRNAs cope with the degeneracy of the genetic code in two manners: having more than one tRNA (with a specific anti-codon) for a particular amino acid; and 'wobble' base-pairing, i.e. permitting non-standard base-pairing at the 3rd anti-codon position. The record is from Rfam by way of RNAcentral. Lineage: Eukaryota; Metazoa; Chordata; Mammalia; Artiodactyla; Camelidae. RNAcentral also lists the same sequence under 2 other names.
GAAGGUAUAGCCCAGUGGUAGAGUGUGUGUUUAGCAUGCACAAGGUCCUGGAUUCAAUCCCCAGUACCUUCA